GUCGUNAGCUCGUGUUCGUAGAAAUGUUUGGGUAAAGUUCCCGCAACNGAGGCGCAACCUGGCCUCAGUCCAAUNGUUCGCCGGNCANUAGGAGGAACGCCGGGACAAGCCCGGAGNAAGCGGGGAAACUCAAGUCUAAGCCCUAAUGGGUGGGAAAAAACGUGAACAAUGCGUGACAGAGGCAGCGAAGGGCGAGCCCGGAGCAAAUCCCCAAAAGCCGUCUCAGGUGACUCUGCAACUCGAGUGCAUGAAGNCGGAUCGCUAGAAUCGCAAUCAGAGGCCGCGNAGAAU
RNAcentral lists this ribosomal RNA (291 nucleotides) under uncultured bacterium. Its description in RNAcentral is "partial 16S ribosomal RNA". The record is from RNAcentral.